Molecule: ribosomal RNA, 750 nt
Filed under: alpha proteobacterium SCGC AAA076-A16
Lineage: Bacteria; Pseudomonadati; Pseudomonadota; Alphaproteobacteria
Description: bacterial SSU rRNA
Rfam family: Bacterial small subunit ribosomal RNA
Source: RNAcentral
GUCGAGCGCGCCCUUCGGGGUGAGCGGCGGACGGGUGAGUAACGCGUGGGAAUAUGCCCUUCUCUAAGGAAUAGCCUCUGGAAACGGAGAGUAAUACCUUAUACGCCCUUUGGGGGAAAGAUUUAUCGGAGAAGGAUUAGCCCGCGUUAGAUUAGGUAGUUGGUGGGGUAAUGGCCUACCAAGCCUACGAUCUAUAGCUGGUUUGAGAGGAUGAUCAGCCACACUGGGACUGAGACACGGCCCAGACUCCUACGGGAGGCAGCAGUAGGGAAUCUUAGACAAUGGGGGCAACCCUGAUCUAGCCAUGCCGCGUGUGUGAUGAAGGCCCUAGGGUCGUAAAGCACUUUCGCCAGAGAUGAUAAUGACAGUAUCUGGUAAAGAAACCCCGGCUAACUCCGUGCCAGCAGCCGCGGUAAUACGGAGGGGGUUAGCGUUGUUCGGAAUUACUGGGCGUAAAGCGCACGUAGGCGGAUUAGUAAGUUAGAGGUGAAAUCCCAGGGCUCAACCCUGGAACUGCCUUUAAUACUGCUAGUCUUGAGUUCGAGAGAGGUAAGUGGAAUUCCGAGUGUAGAGGUGAAAUUCGUAGAUAUUCGGAGGAACACCAGUGGCGAAGGCGGCUUACUGGCUCGAUACUGACGCUGAGGUGCGAAAGUGUGGGGAGCAAACAGGAUUAGAUACCCUGGUAGUCCACACCGUAAACGAUGAAUGCCAGACGUCAGCAAGUAUACUUGUUGGUGUCACACCUAACGG